RNAcentral lists this ribosomal RNA (431 nucleotides) under uncultured bacterium. RNAcentral describes it as "partial 16S ribosomal RNA". It matches the Rfam family "Bacterial small subunit ribosomal RNA", at positions 29 to 507 of the family's 1533-position model. The record is from RNAcentral.
AACGAACGCUGGCGGCAGGCUUAACACAUGCAAGUCGAACGCCCCGCUAGGGGAGUGGCCGACGGGUGUGUAACGCGUGGGAAUCUACCCAUCCCUACGGAAUAACGCAUGGAAACGUGUGCUAAUACCGUAUACGCCCUACGGGGGAAAGAUUUAUCGGGGAUGGAUGAGCCCGCGUUGGAUUAGCUAGUUGGUGGGGUAAAGGCCUACCAAGGCGACGAUCCAUAGCUGGUCUGAGAGGAUGAUCAGCCACAUUGGGACUGAGACACGGCCCAAACUCCUACGGGAGGCAGCAGUGGGGAAUAUUGGACAAUGGGCGCAAGCCUGAUCCAGCCAUGCCGCGUGAGUGAUGAAGGCCUUAGGGUUGUAAAGCUCUUUCACCGGAGAAGAUAAUGACGGUAUCCGGAGAAGAAGCCCCGGCUAACUUCGUG